Pelobates cultripes (western spadefoot toad) is the source of this 85-nucleotide non-coding RNA. Lineage: Eukaryota; Metazoa; Chordata; Amphibia; Anura; Pelobatidae. The record is from the annotation of a GenBank genome assembly.
GUGUGUGUGUGUGUGUGUGUGUACUCGGCAGUCUGUGUGUGUGCUAAGUACACAGACAGACUGCUAAGUACACACAGACAGACUG